Molecule: transfer RNA, 106 nt
Filed under: Lasiosphaeris hirsuta
Lineage: Eukaryota; Fungi; Ascomycota; Sordariomycetes; Sordariales; Lasiosphaeriaceae
Rfam family: tRNA
About the family: Transfer RNA (tRNA) molecules are approximately 80 nucleotides in length. Their secondary structure includes four short double-helical elements and three loops (D, anti-codon, and T loops).
Source: Rfam by way of RNAcentral
GGCAACUUGGCCGAGCGGUCUAAGGCGCCACGUUAAGGUGAACCCUUAAUACAAUCUCAAGAUUCCGUGGUCCGAAAGGGCGUGAGUUCGAAUCUCACAGUUGUCA